UCUUUCUUCCCCAACCAAACUCAUUCCAAUCUCUCUCUACUCUCUCUCUUCGAUGAAGAAUACGAGCAAGCAGUCAGACGAAUGCGAGUAUACUGGAUCUGCGAGCUUGAAGCAUAGCCCAUAUUGAAGUAUCUUCAGCUUCUUUUUUAUGGGUAUGCUCGAGGAUAUACGAAUGCGAGUAUACUGGAUCUGCAAGCUUGAAGCGGUUUUCGAAGUAUCUUCAGAUGGAUCUGAAGUAUAUACGAAUGCGAGUAUACUGGAUCUGCAAGCUUGAAGCGGUUUUCGACAGAGAUAAGCGCCACCCACUGAUUUCGCUGGAGGAUAUCGUCUUGCUUUUUAUGGUAACAAAAAAAGUUGGGAUUUGUCUAAGAGGGAUAUUGCACAGUGGAAGAGCUCACGUACGACUACAGGUUUUCUUCUAUAUGGUGUUUAGAUCUUAUCCAUUAACUAUUAUUGUUUUGUUUAAUGACGAUUUAUAAUAUUUGAUAUUGCAUAUUCUUUUCAACUGAUGAACGACUUCCAUGUUAUUGUGGUUUUCCAAGUUGCCGAGGUGUAGUUAACGACAUUGAUGCUGACGUACAAAUGGCCGAGCUAUGUGCACCACACAGUAAAUUAAAAGACAAAUCUGUUCGUGUUUGAUUGUUUAGAACAGUUUAUACAGAUUAUAUGUUUAAAAGGUCUAAAUUUCACUAACACUUCAACGUCAUACUGUGUUGAUUGUUUGUCAAAUAGAUUUCAAACUAAUUGUUGAUUGGUAGUUGAAGGUUUUCGAAGAAGAUAACAAGUGUGUAGUUGUGACGAGUCUUGAAAUCUAGAUUUGAAUCGAAACUGAAAGCAGUGUAGAUCAGUAUUGUUGUUUGUUUCGUCGAGUUAAAAUUCUGCAUAUCAUAUUCAAAGCUGGUGCUCGUGAGCUUUGAAAGUCAAAUCAUGGCUGGACAAUGAGACCACAUCCGCUCUCUGCCUUUUGCGAAACCAUCCAGGUGCUCGUGAGCUUUGAAAGUGAAAUCAUGGUUGGACAAUGAGACCACAUCCGCUCUCUGCCUUCUGCGAAACCAUCCAGUUGGAGUGUGAACUAGAGUGCUUAAUGGUUGAGUUUGAUUCCAAUCUUCAUAUUGAUGAGAAGCCUCCCAUACUUCUAAGAGACGUCUUCGAAAAAUGAAGCCAUUCUUAAUGGCUUAUGAAAAUAUUCAAACUGAAAAAGUAUGGCAUUUUGGAAUACGUUACUAUUGGUUAAACAGAUCGAUUAAUGACCAAUAUAACUUUGAUGACCGAGGUAAUCGAGAGGGUUUAUUAUACAAUCAACUCACAAUGGUUUAUUCAAAAAAAGAUUACAAGAACAGAGCUGAAAAUGUAGAAAUGGCAAAAUAUAAAUAAUGAGACAGUGGGUUAUAUACCCUAAGAUCAAUUGUUAAUAAGAAAGUGAUGAACACAAGUUGUUACAGUUUGUAAACCUGCAAUAAUAGCUCGUGUGUCUGAACC
RNAcentral lists this long non-coding RNA (1479 nucleotides) under Helianthus annuus (common sunflower). The record is from RNAcentral. Lineage: Eukaryota; Viridiplantae; Streptophyta; Magnoliopsida; Asterales; Asteraceae.